UACGGGGGGUGCAAGCGUUGUUCGGAUUUACUGGGCGUAAAGGGCGCGUAGGCGGCCAGCACAAGUCAGUUGUGAAAUCUCCGGGCUUAACUCGGAAAGGUCAACUGAUACUGUGUGGCUAGAGUGCAGAAGGGGCAACUGGAAUUCUCGGUGUAGCGGUGAAAUGCGUAGAUAUCGGGAGGAACAUCAGUGGCGAAGGCGGCUACCUGGCCCAAUACUGACACUCAGGUGCGACAGCGUGGGGAGCAAACAGG
Molecule: ribosomal RNA, 254 nt
Filed under: uncultured bacterium
Lineage: Bacteria
Description: partial 16S ribosomal RNA
Rfam family: Bacterial small subunit ribosomal RNA
Source: RNAcentral